CUGCUGAGAGGUGCUGGGUGGGGCAGGGCUGCUCCCAGCUCCACACCAGCCUGGGCACAGCUCCGGAUGACAGUUCCCAAAAGAAGAAUGUGAGCAUUCAUAACAAAACUGGAGCAAGGAAGCCCUUGGACCUUCUCCAAGGGUUGACUCAAGGGUAUCUAACAGGCACAACUGACUCUCCUAAUGGAUGUUCCUGUUAAAUAUCCUAGUUAAUCAACCCUAAUAGAUUGUUGGAAUUGGGGGCUGGAUGUGCCUCAUCCCCACUGGGACACCUGGAAGCUUCCAAUAAAGGUCCCCAUGUUUGGCCAGAGCAAAUGUCCAACAGCAGCUCCAUCAGCCACUUCCU
This is a long non-coding RNA of Oenanthe melanoleuca, 346 nucleotides long. RefSeq lists it as uncharacterized. The transcript has 3 exons. Lineage: Eukaryota; Metazoa; Chordata; Aves; Passeriformes; Muscicapidae. The record is from RefSeq and is a predicted model, not a curated record.